Molecule: ribosomal RNA, 321 nt
Filed under: Salmonella enterica
Lineage: Bacteria; Pseudomonadati; Pseudomonadota; Gammaproteobacteria; Enterobacterales; Enterobacteriaceae
Also listed under: 6 other names
Description: partial 23S ribosomal RNA
Rfam family: Bacterial large subunit ribosomal RNA
Source: RNAcentral
CCCCGGUAAACGGCGGCCGUAACUAUAACGGUCCUAAGGUAGCGAAAUUCCUUGUCGGGUAAGUUCCGACCUGCACGAAUGGCGUAAUGAUGGCCAGGCUGUCUCCACCCGAGACUCAGUGAAAUUGAACUCGCUGUGAAGAUGCAGUGUACCCGCGGCAAGACGGAAAGACCCCGUGAACCUUUACUAUAGCUUGACACUGAACAUUGAGCCUUGAUGUGUAGGAUAGGUGGGAGGCUUUGAAGUGUGGACGCCAGUCUGCAUGGAGCCGACCUUGAAAUACCACCCUUUAAUGUUUGAUGUUCUAACGUGGACCCGUAA